CGAGUAAGCCAGACAGUCGCGGGGACAAGGCGAAAGCCUGUUCAUGAGGAAAGUCCGGGCUCCACAGGGCAAGGAUAACGGGUAACGCCCGCCGAAGGCGACUUCAGGAAAAGUGCAACAGAGAUAUACCGCCCCUUUGGGGGUAAGGGUGGAAAGGCGAGGUAAGAGCUCACCCAUCGGCUCGAGAGUGUCCGAUGCUGUAAACUCUAUCCGGAGCAACACCGGUAUGGGAGCAAUAGGGCGGCCCGUCCGCUCCCGAGGUGGCUGAAGCGCACCGGCAACGGCGCGCUUAGAUAGAUGACUGUCAAAUACAGAACCCGGCUUACAGACUUGCUCGCGCA
This 341-nucleotide RNase P RNA is filed under the name Oscillibacter sp. Its description in RNAcentral is "RNase P RNA component class A". It matches the Rfam family "Bacterial RNase P class A". Rfam says of the family: Ribonuclease P (RNase P) is a ubiquitous endoribonuclease, found in archaea, bacteria and eukarya as well as chloroplasts and mitochondria. Its best characterised activity is the generation of mature 5'-ends of tRNAs by cleaving the 5'-leader elements of precursor-tRNAs. Cellular RNase Ps are ribonucleoproteins. RNAcentral also lists the same sequence under 3 other names. Lineage: Bacteria; Bacillati; Bacillota; Clostridia; Eubacteriales; Oscillospiraceae. The record is from RNAcentral.